GACGAACGCUGGCGGCGUGCCUAAUACAUGCAAGUAGAACGCUGAAGGGGGAGCUUGCUUCUCUGGAUGAGUUGCGCACGGGUGAGUAACGCGUAGGUAACCUGCCUGGUAGCGGGGGAUAACUAUUGGAAACGAUAGCUAAUACCGCAUAAGAGUAGAUGUUGCAUAACAUUUGCUUAAAAGGUGCAAUUGCAUCACUACCAGUUGGACCUGCGUUGUAUUAUCUAGUUGGUGGGGUAACGGCUCACCAAGGCGACGAUACAUCGCCGACCUGGGAGGGGGGUCGGCCACACUGGGACUGGGAAACCGCCCCGAAUCCUACGGGAAGCAGCAGUAGGGAAUCUUCGGGAAUGGACGGAAGUCUGACCGGGCAAAGCCGCGUGGGUGGAGAAGGUUUUCGGAUCGUAAAGAUCUGUUGUAAGAGAAGAACGAGUGUGAGAGUGGAAAGUUCACACUGUGACGGUAUCUUAUCAGAAAGGGACGGCUAACUACGUG
This 495-nucleotide ribosomal RNA is filed under the name uncultured bacterium. RNAcentral's name for it is "partial 16S ribosomal RNA". It matches the Rfam family "Bacterial small subunit ribosomal RNA", at positions 28 to 507 of the family's 1533-position model. The record is from RNAcentral.